AGAUGGUGAGCUGGAGGUGCUGAGAGCUCCAAGUCAGAGGGGAAGUCAAAUACUCGGCCACACUCUCACUCUCUGUUUAUGCUUUUUUGCAAGAAACUGCCCAACCCAUAGUUCGACGGUCUUCCAAAUGCCAGUGGGCACGAAUGAUGGUUUUCUCCCAAGUCCCUCUUCAGAACUGAAUCUCUCCACAUCCCUUUCAGGGACUGCACUGUCUCCUCUAAGCUCAAGACUUAUUCACCCCCAGAACUGCUUCUUCCUAGUAUAAGGAAUUAGUAUAAGUAUACGGAGCAAGCAAAUUGGUUAUACAAGAUAGCUUGAAAACCUUUGGUAUAGGUUUCAAAUCUUCACUUGCUUCAUUGAGCUCAUCUCUCCUGCUUUGCAAAGGUUCAUCCAUGUUGCUGUGAAUAAUUGGAGUCCUGCUUUUAUCUUUAAAAAUACCCUGGAGGAGUGAGCCAGCAUUGUAGCCAUUGUCUGACAAGGCAGAGAGCUAAUGGUAUGGAAGUAAAGUGAAGUGCUCUCAAGAAUCCUUCUGUGGAUCACUGAUAUAAAGUCUAGACACAGCAUAAAAAAACAACUAGUAAGACACUGGAGAGUGUCCAAAAUGAGACAGAAGCCAGAAGAUAGUUCAUCUUCAGAAAAAACUUCAACAGGAAAUGGAAACGGUUGAAAGCUUGCGGCUUUGUCUUUGCAGGACGCUCAUCAUGAGUUGGAAGCAGAAACUCACAGCCUCAUUACUCAGGGUGUAAAAAACCAAGAACAUAAUUCUAGAAGAGAGCAGGGUCCAACGUAUGAAUAUAUACUAUGUGCAAUUCCUUGUUUGAUUGUGCAUGCUAGUGGUUAUACUGAGAGGACUCAAAGAAAAUGCAAGAAGAGAAAUAAUAGAACCUAUCCUUAAAAGACAGAGCUGUACUGGGUGAUAUCCAUGAAUACGCUCUUUUUUUUUAAUUAAGUGUAUUUUCCAAAUAUGUAGCUCACAUGGCAAAAAGCUAAAAAGCCUUAUUGGCUUAAAGGAUCAGAGAACAGAGACUGAGGCAGAUAGAGAAUUAGCAGAGGAAUUUCCAGAAUCAAACAACCUGAGAGAGGAUAAACUCCAAAAUAUGAGUAGAAGCACUACUUAAAUCUGUAAUGGUUACCAAAUUAUAAAUAUAAGGGGAUAAUACAAAGAGAUUGGGUUGUAAUAGCAACAACCUGAAGCUGUAAGAAGUAUGUAAAGAUUUGAAAUGCUGCAUAUCAUGGAAGAGAUGAACAGAAUAACCAGAACAACACACAGAUUGCAAAAUAGCUCUGCAAUAGUAUCUGAACUAUUCAGUUUUACACUGAAAAUUUGAAGACAUACAUAGUGACAGUAAACCGUGAUCCAUACUCAGGAAAAAUGACAGCAAAUGGAACAGAGACUAAACAUGCCCACAUGUUAUAUACGGCAGACCAAGAUUUAAAAGUAUAUGUUAUGAAUACCUUC
This 1459-nucleotide long non-coding RNA is filed under the name Sus scrofa (pig). RNAcentral describes it as "lncRNA (ENSSSCG00060013238.1)". The record is from RNAcentral. Lineage: Eukaryota; Metazoa; Chordata; Mammalia; Artiodactyla; Suidae.